RNAcentral lists this ribosomal RNA (253 nucleotides) under uncultured microorganism. RNAcentral's name for it is "partial 16S ribosomal RNA". It matches the Rfam family "Bacterial small subunit ribosomal RNA", at positions 524 to 776 of the family's 1533-position model. The record is from RNAcentral.
AACGUAGGGCGCGAGCGUUGCUCGGAAUCACUGGGCGUAAAGGGUCCGUAGGCGGGACUGUAAGUCGGGUGUGAAAUCCCUGGGCUCAACCUAGGAAUUGCGCUUGUGACUGGCGGGCUCGAGUACGGUAGAGGGGGGUGGAAUUCCUGGUGUAGCAGUGAAAUGCGUAGAGAUCAGGAGGAACACCGAUGGCGAAGGCAGCCCCCUGGGCCUGUACUGACGCUCAUGCACGAAAGCGUGGGGAGCAAACAGG